UACUACAUUCACAUGGACCACAGACAUAC
RNAcentral lists this non-coding RNA (29 nucleotides) under Mus musculus (house mouse). The record is from RNAcentral. Lineage: Eukaryota; Metazoa; Chordata; Mammalia; Rodentia; Muridae.